UACGGGGGGGGCAAGCGUUGUUCGGAAUUACUGGGCGUAAAGGGCUCGUAGGCGGCCAACUAAGUCAUACGUGAAAUCCCUCAGCUUAACUGGGGAACUGCGUGUGAUACUGGAUGGCUUGGAUUUGGGAGAGGGAUGCGGAAUUCCGGGUGUAGCGGUGAAAUGCGCAGAUAUCCGGAGGAACACCGGUGGCGAAGGCGGCUUCCUGGACCGACACUGACGCUGAGGCGCGAAAGCUAGGGGAGCAAACGGG
RNAcentral lists this ribosomal RNA (253 nucleotides) under uncultured bacterium. Its description in RNAcentral is "partial 16S ribosomal RNA". It matches the Rfam family "Bacterial small subunit ribosomal RNA", at positions 524 to 776 of the family's 1533-position model. The record is from RNAcentral.